GUCCACGCCCUAAACUAUGGAUGCUAGCAGUUUCGAGUAUCGACCCUCGAAGUUGCGAAGCUAACGCGUUAAGCAUCCCGCCUGUGGAGUACGAGCGCAAGCUUAAAACAUAAAGGAAUUGACGGGGACCCCGCACAAGCGGUGUAGCGUGUUGUUUAAUUCGAUGGUAAGCGAAGAACCUUACCCAGACUUGACUUCUUUGGAAUUUUUUACGAAAGUAAAUUGUGCCUUCGGGAACCAAAAGACAGGUGUUGCAUGGCCGUCGU
Molecule: ribosomal RNA, 266 nt
Filed under: uncultured bacterium
Lineage: Bacteria
Description: partial 16S ribosomal RNA
Rfam family: Bacterial small subunit ribosomal RNA
Source: RNAcentral